Molecule: non-coding RNA, 503 nt
Filed under: Stegodyphus mimosarum
Lineage: Eukaryota; Metazoa; Arthropoda; Arachnida; Araneae; Eresidae
Description: Eukaryotic small subunit ribosomal RNA
Rfam family: Eukaryotic small subunit ribosomal RNA
Source: Rfam by way of RNAcentral
UUCUUGUCUUAAAGAUUAGGCCAUGCAUAUCUUAGUGCAUGGCAUAUUAAGGUGAAACCACAAAUGGCUCAUUAAAUCUGUUAUGGUUCUUCGGUUCGUGCCUCAUUACUUGGAUAACAGUGGCAAUUCUUGAUCAAAUACAUACAGCAAAGCUCUAAUUCUCUGGGGCCAAAUGCUUUUAUUAGACCAAAACAAAUCGGGCCUCGUGUCCGUAUUAUGUUGCGACUCUAAAACUUUCGAAUGAUUUCAUGGGCUCAUCCCAGUAACGUAUCUUUCAAGUGUCUGUCUUAUUACCUGUCUAUAGUAGGUUAUAUGCCAACCAUGGUUUUAUACGGGUCCAGUUAAAGAGAGAAAGCUUGAGAAAUGGCUACCACAUCCAAGGAAGACAGUAGGCGCACAAAUUACCCACUCACAGAAUGAAGAGCUAAUGACGAAAAAUAACAAUACAGGCCUCUUUUGAGAUCCUGUAAUGAGUACACUCUAACAAGGAUCAAUUUGAAGAA